RNAcentral lists this ribosomal RNA (305 nucleotides) under uncultured bacterium. RNAcentral describes it as "bacterial SSU rRNA". It matches the Rfam family "Bacterial small subunit ribosomal RNA", at positions 28 to 334 of the family's 1533-position model. The record is from RNAcentral.
GAUGAACGCUAGCGGGAGGCUUAAUACAUGCAAGUCGGACGGUAACAUUGGAGCUUGCUCCAGAUGACGAGUGGCGCACGGGUGAGUAACGCGUACACGACCUACCUUAAACUGGGGGACAUAUACUGGAAACGGAGUAAAUACCCCAUGUGAUUAAUAUAUCUAGAAGGAUUAAUUAAAGCUUCGGCGGUUUAAGAUGGGUGUGCGUACUAUUAGAUAGUUGGUGAGGUAACGGCUCACCAAGUCGACGAUAGUUAGGGGGCGUGAGAGCGUGACCCCCACACGGGUACUGAGACACGGACCCG